GGGGAAUAUUGGACAAUGGACCACAAGUCUGAUCCAGCAAUUCUGUGUGCACGAUGGCGUUUUUCGGAAUGUAAAGUGCUUUCAGUCGGGAAGAAGUCAGUGACGGUACCGACAGAAGAAGCGACGGCUAAAUACGUGCCAGCAGCCGCGGUAAUACGUAUGUCGCAAGCGUUAUCCGGAUUUAUUGGGCGUAAAGCGCGUCUAGGCGGCAAGGAAAGUCUGAUGUGAAAAUGCGGAGCUCAACUCCGUAUGGCGUUGGAAACUGCCUUACUAGAGUACUGGAGAGGUAGGCGGAACUACAAGUGUAGAGGUGAAAUUCGUAGAUAUUUGUAGGAAUGCCGAUGGGGAAGCCAGCCUACUGGACAGAUACUGACGCUAAAGCGCGAAAGCGUGGGUAGCAAACAGGAUUAGAUACCCUGGUAGUCCACGCUGUAAACGAUGAUUACUAGGUGUUGGGGGUCAAACCUCAGCGCCCAAGCUAACGCGAUAAGUAAUCCGCCUGGGGAGUACGUACGCAAGUAUG
RNAcentral lists this ribosomal RNA (523 nucleotides) under uncultured bacterium. RNAcentral describes it as "bacterial SSU rRNA". It matches the Rfam family "Bacterial small subunit ribosomal RNA", at positions 356 to 896 of the family's 1533-position model. The record is from RNAcentral.